Molecule: non-coding RNA, 21 nt
Filed under: Arabidopsis thaliana (thale cress)
Lineage: Eukaryota; Viridiplantae; Streptophyta; Magnoliopsida; Brassicales; Brassicaceae
Source: RNAcentral
UCGUUGCUAGUUGUCUAUUGC